CCGUCGCGUCUCCUGUCAGUAACUGUCCAAUGGACAGUGAAACUAAUGAUCCACCAAAUUCAGUAAUCUCAUAGGUGUUAGCUGUGAACUACAAUCAGAAAUCUGUUUGAAAUGAACUUGUAUAAGUUAGAGUUCCGCUACACUGUUUUGUCUUCUAUGCCCACAAUGGUCUAAAAAAGUUAGAGAAUGCAAUGUUUAAUUUCUGAACAUGAAUCAGGUUUCAAAAUAACACCAAAACAUUGAUUGGUUUUCCAAAACAAAGAGAGGGAUAUCAUUUAUUUGAAAGGUCCUGGACAGAUGCAAUAACUAUUAACAGUUCACUUUUUUUUUAACCUAUUUUUCUGUAAGGGUGCUGCUGACUUCCCGUAUGAGGGGGUUUUGGAGGUUGACCAGUGCACAGCAGAGCUGCACCAACACAUUUGCGGAGCAUCGGAGGUGUGCAGGUAUUUGGUCAAGUAUCUUGAAUUCCUUCACCCUUGCGUUGGCUCUCUCAAUGUGAAUACGAUUCUUGGCAAUCUGUUUUGUUGCCCUCACCUCACUCUCAUUAAAUUUUCCCUUAUUUAGAAAGGGGGGGAUAUUCACUGAAACACCCUCUGGCACAAUGUCUGAAAUCAAAAAGCCCUUGUCUGCUAAGACCAGGUCACCAGCUACCAGAUGGUGGAGUAUCCCUGACUGCUGUGUGAUUGCCUUGUCAGACACAGAGCCAGGGUACAGUGGGCUGCAGUAGUUGAUGACCCCAUUUGGGGCCACGGAUAUUAAUACUUUGAAGGAGUGCAUCCCUCUGUAGGUGGAGUAAGUGAGUUUCGCCUUGUCCAUCUCCUUUGGGGCUGCAAUGUGGACAUCUGUGCAAUCCACUACCAUCCUGCAGUUACUUGCAGAUGGCUGGAAUGAAGCAGGCAUGCUUUGGGCAUUCUUGUGCCGACUAGGAACUGUUGCCAUCAUUCCUCUGAAAAACAAUUUAUGUAGCACAUGUAUCAUUGUUUUCACAAUGUUGCCUACAGUGGCAGUGCUGCAGCAGAACAGCUGUGCCAGGUGCAGGUGAGGAUAGUUCUGCCGUAUUUUCAUGAGUGUCAGGAAGACCUGGUCUUCCAAACUCACACUUUCCGAAACGUUCCAGCCAGCAACAUAAAUAAUGGAGCCCUCAAAGCGCUUCACAAGCCCUGCCACCCGUCUGAACAUGGCCAUGUCCAGAAGCCCCGUCUCCAUUCGAAUGACGUCAUCAGGUAGGCCAUCAACGCUGUACUUGGGGGGUUGACGCUUCCCACUGACAGGCAUAGGCAGGGUGACAUCAUGCUCUGCUUCUUCCAAUGGAGUGAAUGUUGUGGAGCAUCCUGAGUCAAGACCAGGGGCAGCCAUUUUUGCAUAACUGUGGUCUGACUGUGUCAGACUUAAUAGAGGGACCAAGCCCGUCUUGCUCCACGGGAAAAGGCACGGGCCUUUGUCUUUCCCGUAAGGAAAAUGGCAACUGCAUAUUCUGGAGUUCCCGUCUGGCUCCCUGUCUGCUCGUCUGCAAUGAGAAAAUAUAGCUAUUAAAUUAAACUAUAGUAAUUAUAGUUAAUACUUAAUCCAUAGGUUUCUUAAUGCAAAUAAAGCAGAAUAUGUUUUUGUGCUGUGUUUGUGUUAAGUCAGUGGCAGCUGCACAGGGAGGGGUGCUUGACAGCCAGCAAUUUCGGUGCUGUGCUGCUGUCACGGCGCACUUCCGCCCCAUGCCCCACGCCCGCCCCUCCUUUUGUGCUGUGUUUCAGUGUUCAGUCAGUCUGAUCUGAUAUUUUAUGAUGCAAAUUACAGCACUUGGACUUUGGACUUUAAUGGCAGUGUUUAACAGAUGUUUGGAUAUAUGGGAUGUGGAAUUAGGGAGUGUAAACCUAAAAUGUGUUUGUUUAUCUAAUUCUUAUGUGUAAUGUUUUCUUGAACUCUUACACACAUUAAAAUGCAAUUAUGUAAAAAUUGAUUAAGUGAUAAAUAACACUGCUUAAAAGCAACCCUGUGCCACUGUUUACUUUCUGUGUUCCUGUGUGUUAUCUUUACCUGUGUGUUUUGACAGUCCUGCAGUGUAUUCAUGUGCGUUUGUUACUCUUCUUUUUGUUUUGUUUUAGAUUAGAACCAGGAGAAUGAGCUUUCAACACAAAGAAGGCAACCAGAGGAGACGUGUCCUUUAUCCACCAGUGAUUCAUCCAUCAUUAGGUCUGCGCUGUCCACCAGCAUGCAGAUUUGGACCAGGCAUGUGACCCCUUCUGUGAUCGUCCAACACAAAGAAGGCAACCAAAGGAGACGUGUCCUUUAUCCACCUGUGACUCAUCCAUCAGUAGGUCUGCGCAGUCCUCCAGCACGCAGUCCUCCAGCACGCAGAAGUUUUACCAGCAGACACCCCCUUCGAGGUCAGCAUCGGCCAGUGAAGAGUCCGUUGCUAUGUCCACCCACACAGUACACUACAGUUUUAAUAUAUUAACAAGUCAUAUUGCAAUUGUUCUGUUAUUUCAGACAUAGACUUUAAACCUACAUACACAAUCAAUACUAAGAAUGACACUACCCCUGAUCACUGUGUGUGAGUCUAGUCUAAAGUAUCUACUAUGAAGAAGGCUUAAUUUAAUCUUCUGUGAAUGACUGAGUGAAUGUUCUGAAGACAAACAUUGGUUUUAAAUUAAGACAGAAACGUAAUGUAAUUUUGAAACGUCAAAUGUCAAUUGAGUUUAUUGGUAAUUACAUAAAUGUUAAUGGCAUUGUAUUGAUUCGCAAGCAGGACACACAGGAACUGGGUUUGAUGGUGCUGAGGAAAAGGGGAAUAAAGAACACAUUAUAAACAUU
Molecule: long non-coding RNA, 2805 nt
Organism: Sardina pilchardus (European sardine)
Lineage: Eukaryota; Metazoa; Chordata; Actinopteri; Clupeiformes; Clupeidae
Exons: 3
Source: RefSeq, a predicted model, not a curated record